GUAUAGCCCCGAAACCCGGUGAUCUAGCCAUGGGCAGGUUGAAGGUUGGGUAACACUAACUGGAGGACCGAACCGACUAAUGUUGAAAAAUUAGCGGAUGACUUGUGGCUGGGGGUGAUAGGCCAAUCAAACCGGGAGAUAGCUGGUUCUCCCCGAAAGCUAUUUAGGUAGCGCCUCGUGAACUCAUCUUCGGGGGUAGAGCACUGUUUCGGCUAGGGGGGCAUCCCGACUUACCAACCCGAUGCAAACUACGAAUACCGAAGAAUGUUAUCACGGGAGACACACGGCGGGUGCUAACGUCCGUCGUGAAGAGGGAAACAACCC
Molecule: ribosomal RNA, 324 nt
Filed under: Klebsiella pneumoniae
Lineage: Bacteria; Pseudomonadati; Pseudomonadota; Gammaproteobacteria; Enterobacterales; Enterobacteriaceae
Description: bacterial LSU rRNA
Rfam family: Bacterial large subunit ribosomal RNA
Source: RNAcentral